UACAGAGGGUGCGAGCGUUAAUCGGAAUUACUGGGCGUAAAGCGCACGUAGUCGGCUUUGCAAGUCGGUUGUGAAAUCCCCGGGCUCAACCUGGGAACUGCAUCCGAGACUGCAUUGCUAGAGUAUGGGAGAGGAAAGCGGAAUUUCUGGUGUAGCAGUGAAAUGCGUAGAUAUCAGAAGGAACAUCAGUGGCGAAGGCGGCUUUCUGGACCAAUACUGACGAUCAGGUGCGAAAGCAUGGGGAGCAAACAGG
Molecule: ribosomal RNA, 253 nt
Filed under: uncultured bacterium
Lineage: Bacteria
Description: partial 16S ribosomal RNA
Rfam family: Bacterial small subunit ribosomal RNA
Source: RNAcentral